GGGACCUUGGCGCAGUUGGCUAGCGCGCAAGUCUCAUAAAUCAACGUAUUUGUGAUCUGGUGAUACAUCAGAGCUAUCUUGAGGUCGUGAGUUCGAGCCUCACAGGUCCCA
This is a non-coding RNA of Apodospora peruviana, 111 nucleotides long. The record is from the annotation of a GenBank genome assembly. Lineage: Eukaryota; Fungi; Ascomycota; Sordariomycetes; Sordariales; Lasiosphaeriaceae.